GACAGAGGGUGCAAACGUUGUUCGGAAUUACUGGGCGUAAAGCGCGUGUAGGCGGCCCUGCAAGUCGGGUGUGAAAUCUCCGGGCUCAACUCGGAGGGGCCACCCGAUACUGCUGUGACUCGAGUCCGGUAGGGGAGUGGGGAAUUCCUGGUGUAGCGGUGAAAUGCGCAGAUAUCAGGAGGAACACCGGUGGCGAAGGCGCCACUCUGGGCCGGUACUGACGCUGAGGAGCGAAAGCGUGGGUAGCAAACAGG
RNAcentral lists this ribosomal RNA (254 nucleotides) under uncultured bacterium. RNAcentral describes it as "partial 16S ribosomal RNA". It matches the Rfam family "Bacterial small subunit ribosomal RNA", at positions 524 to 776 of the family's 1533-position model. The record is from RNAcentral.